Molecule: transfer RNA, 73 nt
Filed under: Batrachochytrium salamandrivorans
Lineage: Eukaryota; Fungi; Chytridiomycota; Chytridiomycetes; Rhizophydiales
Description: tRNA-Arg
Rfam family: tRNA
About the family: Transfer RNA (tRNA) molecules are approximately 80 nucleotides in length. Their secondary structure includes four short double-helical elements and three loops (D, anti-codon, and T loops).
Source: RNAcentral
GGCCGCGUGGCGCAAUGGAUAGCGCGUUGGACUUCGAAUCCAGAGGUUGUGGGUUCGAGUCCCAUCGUGGUCG